This 304-nucleotide long non-coding RNA is filed under the name Androctonus crassicauda. The record is from RNAcentral. Lineage: Eukaryota; Metazoa; Arthropoda; Arachnida; Scorpiones; Buthidae.
AGUCACUCAAUCAAAGAAUUGAUAGGACAGAAGAUGUUAGUAAUACCAACCAGACUUAACCUAAACAAUCUUUCUUGUGGGAGUGGAGAUAUCAGAAAGUGUGGGGGUAGACAUACUAUCGACGCACCUCAGCCCUCGGGAAAAACGAAUGGAAGUACAUCAUUGGAGAAAAACCAACAGCAGAAGUGCACCGGAGGAGGCAAUUUGCCUGGAAAUAAUAAUCCAUUCAUACAAACACAUUCACUCUAUGCCACUGGCGUUAUAUCUGAUAACUAGAGAUAAACAAUUGGAGACAUGCCAGAAU